UAAGUUUGUAUAUACAAUUACAAGAGGAUAUAUAUUUAGAGAGAAAACUAAGAUUAUAGUAAUGGAAGGUACUCAUUUUAAUUUAAAUAUUAUUAAUCUUGCCAGCAAACAAGCAUUGUGAUGCACCUUCUGAAAAUAUAGAACCUUGCCCUUUGCUCCUUAACAAGCCUAUUGCAUCUUCUUCCAAAGGAUCUCAAGGGUUCACAAACAUGCCUAUUACACAAGCCCUUAUCAUCAUUAUCUUCUAAUUGCUUCAUUUUCAUCCACCACUCUGAAUUUGUUGUUUCCUUCUUGAUGAUUUGGGUUGAAUUUCUCGCUGCUCACACUCUUCUUAUUGUUAUGUUGACUUUGUUUGCAUGUGUUGUAUGCAAAUUAAA
Molecule: long non-coding RNA, 377 nt
Filed under: Arachis ipaensis
Lineage: Eukaryota; Viridiplantae; Streptophyta; Magnoliopsida; Fabales; Fabaceae
Description: long non-coding RNA (AIPA_LNC002300)
Source: RNAcentral